Musa acuminata AAA Group (dessert banana) is the source of this 1177-nucleotide long non-coding RNA. RefSeq lists it as uncharacterized. Lineage: Eukaryota; Viridiplantae; Streptophyta; Magnoliopsida; Zingiberales; Musaceae. The record is from RefSeq and is a predicted model, not a curated record. The transcript has 4 exons.
CUGUGGCCCGUUCAGUUUGGGCACGACGGCUUUAGCAUCUCCCUCGCCCGAAGAAAACCAAGAUCAGGCUCCUUUGGUGCUCACGGUCUCCGCUCCGUUCGAAUUGGUAGAAAGAGAAGAGAAGACGACGAAGAAGAAGAUGCAGCAGCUCUCCACGCGACCGGUACGCUAGUUUAAAUGGUCCUGUGGAUGUUAGGAUUCCUAAUAGCACGAUGACUUCAGUAAUUGAUGCUGAUGGUGGCAAUAUCCAUGAUAUUCAUCAGAUUCACCGCUGUCUCAAGCACUCUAUCCUUAGUCCUACUUGGAAUCGGUGGUUUAAGUGUUCCUUGAUGGUUAAAUACUAUGCGGACAUUGUUGCUGGGUUUGUCGGAUCAUUUGCUGUCUAUUUCAGAAUUGUUGAACUAAUUGAUAUACGGUUCCCAGCUAUUCACGGAUGGUGCCUUUGUAAGCUGUGAAGCCUGUACAUUUCAGUAUUUAGAGUUCAUGCGACAGGUAUAAUCAACUCCAGUUUCGAGUGCAUCAUAUUAUGCUUUGUUCUUUGCAAACUUCAGCAUUAUAGUUUAUUCUUUGCUUUUCUUAUUUUUUCCUUGAUCCGUCGAAUUCUGUAUCAGCUUGCUGAUGAAUCUCUGGUUUAUUGGUGAUCUUUAAGCUCUGGCAUUCUUAUCAAUCAAUUGAAAUUGCCAUUUUUCUUAAUUUGAAGUGACGUUAAUAUACAGUAACCCACAUGCAUACGAUACUGCCGCCGUUUCACAUUCUCGUUCCAGCUUUCAACCCAAAGAUCAGAAAACUAGAACGUAAUCAGUGAGUUAAAAGAUGCACAACAAUUGCAUCCUUUACCAGCUUUAUUUCGGGUUUUGCUGCGUGUGGACUGAGUUUACCUUUGUAUGCAAGGAAUGUUUCUACCUGAACCGGGAUUUUGCUGUAGCAAAGCACACAUAUUACAUGCCUGACUCCGCGUGGUAAAGGACCAAUUUGUCGAGACAGUUAUCGUGCAUUGCUCUUGGAUUGCUGCCGUUGGAUCCAGUGAUUAACACAAAGGAUAGUUGGUGCCUUUCACAAUGAUUAAUGUGUAAUUAUAGUCGACAGAGGUUACUUUGAUUAAAGAUGCACAUGAAAUCUGAAGUUGUACAGCAUUUGCUCCACCAAAGAAAGAAACUUUUUUUGAAGUCUGGUAGAA